Long non-coding RNA from Crotalus tigris (Tiger rattlesnake), 767 nucleotides. RefSeq lists it as uncharacterized. The transcript has 4 exons. Lineage: Eukaryota; Metazoa; Chordata; Lepidosauria; Squamata; Viperidae. The record is from RefSeq and is a predicted model, not a curated record.
AAGUUAUGCAAUAAGCCAUGGAGUCCUAUCUGUUUCACAGACCAGUGCUAAGGAGAAUAUGACAGAGAAAGGCAUCCUGCAAGAAAAAAAAUGGAAGCAGUGAUAACCACCAAGCAGCUACAGAAGUAUAGAACUUGCCAUAUGAGCCAUUGGGCGUAAUCCAUGUUCCAAGUAAAGGAAAACGGAAGAGGUGGGCCUUCAAAUAUUUCUUAACUGUUCCUACAGGUUGAAAAAAUGCCACUGCUUUAAGGAAAUCACUCAGCAAUUCCUAAAGCUAUAGGAGGAUCCUUUCAGCUUGUACAAUGAAAAAGGGAGGGGCUAACUGAUGUUAUUAACAAAGAGCAGUGAAGAUCUCGGCUGUCUGAAACUCUUAUUUUGAGCCAUUUCAAAGAGUGCACAAUCACGUUGAUCAUAUACUUAACUAAAAGGAAAACUUAAUUUUAUCUUGAAUAUGAUAAAAGGUGAUAAGAGUGAAAAACAAUUCUGAACCACAAUGAAGAACAUUACACCAUCCAAGUGGACACUAUCAGAUAUCGGUCUAGAGAUGCCUAUGGCCCUUGGACUGUGGGUUUCUCUCUUUUCUUACUGAGCAGCUGGACAUACCGCCAAACAAAGCAAGAGUAUGUUUUGCUCAGUCUGAGUAAAAAAGGAUGAAACUAUCCACCUGGGAGGCAGUUCUCUGAAAUUCACUGCAAUCAAAGAGGAUUGAACAAGAUUUGAUAAGCUCUGAGUAAGCAUCUGAUUGAAAAACUCUUUUUAAAACUGGA